AUAGUCCUUUUAAUCUGAGAGGGGAAAGCACCUAUUAAAUUCUGUCUUCUGGCAAGUUUUCUUUUCCAUAGUAAAUUAUUAUUGUUAAUAUGCAAAGACAAAGGGGAGUAUUGUGACUGUGAAAUAAUUUUCAUUAGCUGGGUUAUUUAGAGUUGAUUCAAAGCAAUCUCUGUUCUGUGGUUAUGUACUUUAGUUGCUGAAGUGUAUGAAGAAAUCUGACAUAAUGACAUAAUGAGCAGUAAUGGGAGCUGGGCUGAUAAAAUCUUUUCUUCAAGAAUUUCUUCCUCAGAAAUUUAAGACAAACCCUCUCUUGGUUGCUGUGCAAAGUUAAAGAACACUGCUACACAACACAGUCUGAACACGAGGAUUCAAGAGAAAAGAAGGAACAGAGAACUAGUUUUUCUUGCAGGUACUGUUCAUUCCUCUGUUUGCAACAGAUGGAUUUUAAAGAAUUC
This 455-nucleotide long non-coding RNA is filed under the name Lepisosteus oculatus (spotted gar). Its description in RNAcentral is "lncRNA (ENSLOCG00000022616.1)". The record is from RNAcentral. Lineage: Eukaryota; Metazoa; Chordata; Actinopteri; Semionotiformes; Lepisosteidae.